This is a long non-coding RNA of Anolis carolinensis (green anole), 7021 nucleotides long. RefSeq lists it as uncharacterized. The record is from RefSeq and is a predicted model, not a curated record. NCBI's taxonomy places the organism in Eukaryota, Metazoa, Chordata, Lepidosauria, Squamata, Anolidae. The transcript has 3 exons.
CGCCCCCCCCCUCCUCCGGCUCCUCCCCUCCCCCUUCCUUCAGCCAAGAAAAUGUACAGGGCUUCUCUAGUUCCAUGGGGUAACUGGGGCAUCUGUCAGGAGGGGUUUGGUGGUCUGGACUGCGUGGCCCUGGGGCUCCCUUCCAGCUCUAGGAUUCCAUAACACACCCAUCAUCUCUUCCUCCAUCCUAUCUAUCUCAAUGUUAUCUAUCCUGUCUAUGGCUGGCUGGCCCUCUGUCGGGAGGGCUUGGAUUGUGUCUCCCUGCCUGGCAGAAAGGGGUUCAGACUGGGUGGCUCUGGGGCUCCCUUCCAACUAUAGGAUUCUAUGGUACACCUAUCUUCUCUCUCUCUCUCCAUCCUCUCUUCUUUCCAUGCUAUCUAUCCUAUCUAUGACUGGCUGGCCCUCUGUUGGGAGGGCUCAGAUUGUGUCUCCCUGCCUGGCAGAAGGGGCUUGGACUAGAUAGCCCUGGUGUAUUCCAUGAUACACCUAUCAUCCCUCUCUCAAUCCUACCUUAUCUCCAUCCUAUCUAUGGCUGGCUGGCCCUCUGUUGAGAGGGCUUGAAUUGUGUCUCCCUGCCUGGCAAAAGGGGUUUGGACUGGAUGGCCCUGGGGCUCCCAACUAUAGGAUUCUAUGAUAUACCCAUCAUCUCUCUCUCUCUUUCUCUCUAUCUUAUCUUCUUUUCAUGUUAUCUAUCCUAUCUAUGGCUGGCUGGCCCUCUGUCGGGAGGGCUCGGAUUGUGUCCCCCUGCCUGGCAAAAGGGGUUCAGACUGCAUGGCCCUGGGGCUUCCUUCCAACUAUAGGAUUCUAUGGUACACCCAUCAUCUCUCUCUCUCUCCAUCCUCUCUCUCUCUAUUCUAUCUUCUUUCCUUGCUGUCUAUCCUAUCUAUGGCUGGCUGGCCCUCUGUCGGGAGGGCUUGGAUUGUGUCCCCCUGCCUGGCAAAAGGGGUUCAGACUGCAUGGCCCUGGGGCUUCCUUCCAACUAUAGGAUUCUAUGGUACACCCAUCAUCUCUCUCUCUCUCCAUCCUCUCUCUCUCUAUUCUAUCUUCUUUCCUUGCUGUCUAUCCUAUCUAUGGCUGGCUGGCCCUCUGUCGGGAGGGCUCGGAUUGUGUCCCCCUGCCUGGCAAAAGGGGUUCAGACAGCAUGGCCGUGGGGCUUCCUUCCAACUAUAGGAUUCUAUGAUAUACCCAUCAUCUCUCUCUCUCUUUCUCUCUAUCUUAUCUUCUUUUCAUGUUAUCUAUCCUAUCUAUGGCUGGCUGGCCCUCUGUCGGGAGGGCUUGGGUGGUGUCCCCCUGCCUGGCAAAAGGGGUUCAGACUGCAUGGCCCUGGGGCUUCCUUCCAACUAUAGGAUUCUAUGGUACACCCAUCAUCUCUCUCUCUCUCCAUCCUCUCUCUCUCUAUUCUAUCUUCUUUCCUUGCUGUCUAUCCUAUCUAUGGCUGGCUGGCCCUCUGUCGGGAGGGCUCGGAUUGUGUCCCCCUGCCUGGCAAAAGGGGUUCAGACAGCAUGGCCGUGGGGCUUCCUUCCAACUAUAGGAUUCUAUGAUAUACCCAUCAUCUCUCUCUCUCUUUCUCUCUAUCUUAUCUUCUUUUCAUGUUAUCUAUCCUAUCUAUGGCUGGCUGGCCCUCUGUCGGGAGGGCUUGGGUGGUGUCCCCCUGCCUGGCAAAAGGGGUUCAGACUGCAUGGCCCUGGGGCUUCCUUCCAACUAUAGGAUUCUAUGGUACACCCAUCAUCUCUCUCUCUCUCCAUCCUCUCUCUCUCUAUUCUAUCUUCUUUCCUUGCUGUCUAUCCUAUCUAUGGCUGGCUGGCCCUCUGUCGGGAGGGCUUGGAUUGUGUCCCCCUGCCUGGCAAAAGGGGUUCAGACUGCAUGGCCCUGGGGCUUCCUUCCAGCUAUGGGAUUCUGUGAUACACCUAUCUUCUCUCUCUCUCCAUCCUAUCUUAUCUCCAUCCUAUCUAUGGCUGGCUGGCCCUCUCUUGGGAGGGCUCAGAUUGUGUCUCACUGCCUGGCAAAAGGGGUUCAGACUGCAUGGCCCUGGGGCUCCCUUCCAACUAGAGGAUCCUAUCAUACACCUAUCAUCUCUCUCUCUCUCAAUCCUGUCUAUGACUUGGCUGGCCCUCUGUCAGGACAGCUUGGAUUGUCUCCCUGCCUGGCAGAAGGGGGUUGGACUAGAUGGCCCUGGCGUUCCAUUCCCGCUCUAGGAUUCCAUGAUACACCUAUCAUCUCUCUCUCUCAAUCCUAUCUAUGGCUGGCUGGCCCUCUGUUGGGAGGGCUCAAAUUAUGUCUCACUGCCUGGCAAAAGGGGUUCGGUCUGCAUGGCCCUGGGGCUCCAUUCCAGCUAUAGGAUUCUAUGAUACACCUAUCUUCUCUCUCUCUCCAUCCUAUCUAUGGCUAGCUGGCCCUCUGUCGGGAGGGCUUGGAUUGUGUCUUCCUGCCUGGCAGAAGAGGAUUGGACUGGGUGGUCCUUGGGCUCCGUUCUGACUCUAGGAUGCUAUGAUUUGAAGAACAAGGGCAUCAUCUGUUCCUCUCUUUCUUUCUGCCCUCUGGAGGUUUGGAAGCAGAGGCUGGAGGGGAGGAAUUGUUGAAUCGGACAGCCCUCGGGGUCUCUUGACUAGGAUUCUGAGAUGCAACAAGGCAAAACCAAAAGCAUUGACCCACUUAUGAGCCACAAAGAGAGAUUGUGCUCCCAGGUCUGGAUAUCAGAGGUUGGGUUUCCUGUGAUGAUGUUGGAAGAUGCUCCUCCGUCAGUGAGAUGGAAGCCAUCCUUCCUGCAAAACCGUGGCCACAUUACAGCCCUGCCACGGGAACCACGUAUCCCAGUGACGCCCUCGACUCAGGCUCCCAAGACAAGAAGCACAAGCGAGGCGGCUUGCAACCGGAGUGGAACCAUCUCCUGGGAGCGUGCAUCAAUAUUUCAAGGCGCAGCAAGAAACAGCAAGACGAUCCUGAUGAAGCAAAAAACGCAGACCAGACCUUAAGAGUUUGAGAUUUUCCCAGGUUCUUCAGCGGUGGAGCUCAGGAUAGAUGUGUGGAUACAGAGUUCUUUCCUGGACUGCCUCCAACCCCAUGGAUCCAGGCAGGGCAACACAUGGGUUACAUGCCUUGGGUGCAGUCGAGCCUCUUUUUUACAUAAACCAAUCUAUGUAAUGCUGAUAAAAUGAACACCAAGAAGGCUUAACAAGUUACUCAUCAUUUAAUAAGCAUUUCACCACACUGUACUGUUCCCAAAGAUUACAGGGUUGAUUUAUUAUUAUUUUUAAAAAGAACAAAAAGCAAAAGAUACAGAGUGGAAUGCACAGAAACAGGUGAACAGCGUUCCCUGUUGUUGGAGAUUGUUUUCGAGGCUUAAAAAAUAAACGUAACUGUGAAACCUAACUCGCACACAAGUUAUUGGCUUACAGGAGGCCUCUUAGGCUUUCAGGUCUUUGGGUGUCCAACUCCCAGAAGCCUUGGCUAGCUUUGUUCAAUGGUCGGGGAUUCUGGGAGAAGAAGUGCCAAACACCCGGAGGACCAAACAUUGAAGAGGCCUGGGUUACAAACUUUCCGAACUGGCAAAAAUAGCCCCAUAGGAAGCUUUUGCACCUUCUCCCAGAAUAUGGGAAAAGGAGCAAAAGCAUCAAAUCCUGCCUCUGUCUGUGCUGACUCUUAGCUACUUCAUGGCAUCCUUCUCGCAAAGGAAAAUGCCCCACAAGACACCCCUCAAUGCAUCUCCAAAAGCUGUGACACCCCCUUCCCCUUGCUUGGGUAUUACAAGAAGAGACAGAAAGUUUUUAAAAUAAUGGCUUUAAUUGUCAUUUUAAAGUAUACGGGAGGAAAAGUGUGCUCCCAAUAAAAUAUACAUCAUACCAGUGAGGCUGGCAAAAGGUUGAGAGUGAUCUCCAAAGUUUGACAACAGAACAUGUGUACGUGACGAGGAGGAGAAAAAAGCAAUCCCUUUGAAACGCAACAAAAAAAGAAAACAGAAAGACAUUCACAGUGGUCUCUACAAACAAUAUGUAGCCUGACAGCAAUACGUUUCCUAGCCUUGGAGCACACUAGUGUCGCUUGAGGUCCUAAAAAGAAAAGCAGGCAUCGCACACCACCCGGCGUCAGUGGCAGGGAUGCCCCAAAUGGCAGGAGAAGGGGCCGUGGAGUCUACAGCGGGGACAUCAAGAAGGAAAAGAGUCACCAUUUCUCUCCAAACCAAUACAGUUUGUUUACAAAAACUCUUUUCGAGAGGCAAGAGCCUCCUUUGCUGUGACAACCAACCAAAGCCAUCCAUCAAAAUGAACAGAAAAAACCACAAACACAUUUAAAUUCUAGUCUUAGCAAGCUGACCGAUACAUGUUACCGUUUCUUUUAAAAAAUUGAGAUUAUAUACUAUAGUACAAGUCCCAACUAGGCCGGGGCCAGGAGUGAUUAUUUCUUUGCUUGUUUCGUGAUCAUCCCCCGGGGGGGUGUUACAGGUCGGCUAGCGUUGGGCUUCUUCUUCUCGGCUGGCUUCAAGAUCUGCAAGGAGAAGGCAAAGGUCUUUUUAGCAAAGGAGUCUGAGAAGGCAUGCUUGAACAUAUGGAUGGCCAUCAGGAAAGCACACCUCCAACUUGAUAGUAUACAUUUACUGCUAUUAUUAUUUAUUUACUUUUAUCUCAUGUAUUGGACUCAAAGUGGCGUACAAAAAGCAAAAAAGGCUACAUAAUAAUACAAUAUAAUAAUAUUAAUUAUAUAUUAAAUGUAAUAUUACUAAUACAGUAGUGUCUUACUUAUCCAACGUUCUGGAUUAUCCAAUGCAUUUUUGUAGUCAAUGUUUUCAAUGCAUUGUCAUAUUUUGGUACUAAAUUUGUAAGUACAGUAAUUACUACAUCGCAUUAAUGUGUACUGAACUACUUUUUCUGACAAAUUUGUUGUAUAACAUAUUUUUAUGCUUAAUUUGUAAAAUCAUAACCUAUUUUGAUGUUUAAUAGGCUUUUUCUUAAUCUCUCAUUAUCCAACAUAUUCGCUUAUCCAACGUUCUGUCGGCCCGUUUAUGUUGGAUAAGUGAGACUCUACUGUAAUAUAGUAGAGUCUCACUUAUCCAAGCCUCACUUAUCCAAGCCUCUGGACAAUCCAAGCCAUUUUUGUAGUCAAUGUUUUCAAUAUAUCAUGAUAUUUUGGUGCUAAAUUUGUAAAUACAGUAAUUACAACAUAACAUUACUGUGUAUUGAACUACUUUUUCUGUCAAAUUUGUUGUCUAACAUGAAGUUUUGGUGCUUAAUUUGUAAAAUCAUAACUUAAUUUGAUGUUUAAUAGGCUUUUCCUUAAUCCUUCCUUAUUAUCCAAGAUAUUUGCUUAUCCAAGCUUCUGCUGGCCCGUUUAGCUUGGAUAAGUGAGACUCUACUGUAUUACCAUAUAAUGAUAUAAUACAAUAUAGUAAUUUAAUGCUUAUAUUGUGCUAUGCUAAUAAUAUAUUAUAUGUACACUUGAUUUGUAAGCCGCUCUGAGUCCCCUUUGGUGUGAGAAGAGCGGGAUAUAAAUUUAGUAAAUAAAUAAAUAAAUAAUACAUAAUACAAAAUUUCAUUUCAACCCCAUUCCCACCUCAAGGGCAAAGCAGGCUUUGGGCAGGAGUUCUUCCUCUAAAGCAGGCCCCCUCCAACUCCCAGAAGCCCCGUACAGCUUGUUCAAUGGUCAGGAAUUCUGGGAGAUGGAGUCCAAAGCACCUGGAGGACCGCAGGUUGACAAGGCUUGCUCUAAAGCCUUGCCAUACGCAACGUGGGAAAUUCAAUGAGGGUGGGGAUGCAGCAAGGAUUGAUAACUAUGUUUAUAUUUUUAAUAAAUAUAUAUGAAAACAGAUAAUUGCUUCCUGAGGAGCAGCCUGAAGAGGAAGGUGAGGUGAACGCCAGGCUAUUAAGACGCCUCCCAGGAGAGAAAUCAAUAUGGGAGAAUAGGAGAGGCAACAUUGGAUGGGGAAAAUGCCUGCCAAAACCACCCCCGUGAAAGCCAGCCUAGACCUGACAGAGAGAGAAUGAAGGCACGUUAUAAAGUGGCGGUGGUAAAGCUUAGGUGGUCCUUCAAGCCAAAUGUCAGCAGGGCUUUAAGGCUCAACGCCCACACCCUGAAUUGAGAACCCGUUCUUCCUUUCCUCCCCCAUAUGAUUGUGUCUUGCAGAUCGUGCGGCGGGGGUGAGCCACGACUUUCGGGGCAAUCCAAUUCAAGGUGAACCGAUGAUGUCUGCCCUACUUAAUGUAUGCCAGGCGGGCGCUCGGCACAGAUUACAGAGACAGAAUGCGUUGGGAAAGAGCUGGGGCUUACUGUCCCGAACGAUGAAAGACCAGCUCAGAGUGAGAAGUGCCAAGUCUAUGGGGAAAGCGAGGCACGAAGGGCGUACCUGAAAGGAGCACAUCAAAGUCUCAUCCACGCUCAUCAUGGCGCCUGCGUUGUCAAACUCCCCGCAGUAAUUGGGGGCAGAAAACAGGGUGACCAGCUGCCUUUUUGCAAAGAACUCAUAUCCAUCUUCAACCACCUUUGAAAGAAAGAGCAGCAUCCUCAGCCCCCGGCAAAGGCAGCACAUGGGCAUCAUGGCUGGGGAGAGAGUGGGGAGCUCCGCGAUCCCGAGUGCAGACUCUCCACAGCCAAAUACACAUCAUGAGACAGCCUGAGGUAAGCCACCCCAAUCCUCCCCCCCACACUCCAAACUGGGAUGUGCAGGCAAUGUCAAUCUCACUGGAAGUACUAAUGCUAUGAUACUUGAGAAGUGCAUGCUGUUAUGCAUGUAAAGCUCCCAUGAUGAGCCAAUUACCCUUGGAAACAGAGUGGGAGACCCACGUAGCAAGACCGUUCCAUUUACUCCGUUCUCUGCUCCCCUUCUGCUAAAUGAGAGGAUGUCGAUGAAAGCUUUGAGCACACCAGAAGUAGUAUAUCAAAUGUAAACAAGGCACUGAAGAGUGGCAGCAUCCUGGCCCACAGAAGCAGUACUCUAGCGGAGAUCUGCUCCUUCUCAAGACUCAUUCAUUUUCCCACCUACGAAACCCACUUGCAUCAAGUGCACUCUUAAUCUGGAGAAGGCAGGCUAGAU